UUAAUGUUAUGUCAGGGAUCGAAAUGCGUGGCUAUUUUAAAAUAUUCAUCAGAGUUGUUGAUAUGGUUUAGCCUCUGCCUCUGGGUUUCCAUGUCAAGUCGCCAGAAUAGAACAUUAGAAGAGAAACCAAUCAGAGGAUGCAGCAAAAAUGAAAGGAGAUCAACCAAGCAACAAGACUCCGAUCAUUGAAAUCUCAGUAUUAUCAGUGACAGUAGCAGCAGUUUUGUCACUCACUCAACUUCCUUAUACGAAGGUGCAAGGAAACCCAGUCCCAACUAUUCUGUUCAGCCACAGCAAUCCCUCCUUGUUCCAUGCUUUUGUAUUGUCUCUCAACUUUGCUUUCUUCGGUUCUCUCAAUUCCCUCACUCUUCGCCACUCAUAUCCCAGACUUGCCAACGCUUCUCUGCUUCUUUCUCUCUUCUCCACCGCCGCCUGGGCCGCCGUUCUCCUCUACCUUACCGUUCCCGUCUUCUUCACUUUUGCCACAUCCUUCUCAUAGAUACAUCCUAGGACCUGCCUCCAGAAACAAGACAUGCUCAAUGGGAGAGGGAGCAAAAUAUCAGCCGAAGAAUCGACGAGAGGAGAGGAGAGGAGCAGAAGAAAAUGAAAGCAAAACUUGCCAAUUAAAAUUGCCUCAUCUCCAACCACAAGGUCAAAUUUAUGAGUGUGAAACCCAAGCGGAUCGGAGUUUUGUGAUGAUUUGAAUCUGAUUCCUUCACACUCAGUGGUACGAUCUGUGAGAAUGGCGUCUCUGGUUUUUCUGGAAAUGAUUGUGGUUUUGACCCAGACGGCGGCAUGGUGCUCUUCUGGGUUCCCCGUGGAGCCUUGGAGGUUGAUCGCUACAGAUUUCCCUGAAAAAAUGACAAUUAAAACCCCUAACGUCAUUAAUUUCAAUUAAAAACCAUAAUCUUUAUUUGAAAUAACAAAAAAUACAUAACAUUAUAAAAUUGUUUUUUAUUAAACACUAAAAAAUACAUAACUUUAUAAAAUUAUCUUUUACUAAACACAAAAUAUAUAUAAUACUACUAAAAAUAUUAUCAUGGUAUGAAAAUAUUGUUAAUAUUUAUUAAAAAAACAAAG
Molecule: long non-coding RNA, 1080 nt
Organism: Prosopis cineraria
Lineage: Eukaryota; Viridiplantae; Streptophyta; Magnoliopsida; Fabales; Fabaceae
Exons: 3
Source: RefSeq, a predicted model, not a curated record